Molecule: long non-coding RNA, 1337 nt
Organism: Lathyrus oleraceus (garden pea)
Lineage: Eukaryota; Viridiplantae; Streptophyta; Magnoliopsida; Fabales; Fabaceae
Exons: 5
Source: RefSeq, a predicted model, not a curated record
UCUCCACUAAUGGCUAGGUGUCAGCCAAUCCUGGGAAACAACAAGGUGGGAGAACCGAAGUGUCACGAGUAAAUGAAAUAAAUGGAAAAAAUGUUUUGAUAACAACAACAUAUGAAACAACGAAACCUGGAAAACAACGACACUAAAUCCAUAAAAACUCAUCUCCUUCUCAAGAAAAAAAACAAUGGAGUUCUCUAACCUAAAACCAGUUUCUUCUUUCCAUGGUACCCUAACGCGUAGGGACAAAGGUACAUGAAGCUCAAGUCAAAAAGAGAAGAAACGAACCUAAAUCAGUUACGACAGGAUUGAACGGCGAUUGGAUCGGCGACGCUAACGAGUUCACUUUCGUACGUUGACUCACCGCCGAUGAGCGUUCACCUGCGUAUUCCGUCGUGAGUGAGGGCUCUAUCCAAGAAAGGUGUCGAGAUGAAGCUUUGAAAAAUCUCCCUGAGGAAUGCCGCCACUAAGUGCUUUUGACUUUCCUCUGUUUCAAUUUCUUUAGGCCCUCUUCUGAUCGUGAGAGGCUUCCAAAAAAAUUCUCUCUGUGGUCCCUCUCCUAUGUCCUUUUCCGUACCUUGGUGGUGACAUUACCUCUGAGGGUGCAGGUGAGUGUUCGUACGGACUCUUCUGGGACUUUUUCUCUUCACCCAAAAUUUGUGACCCCUCCUCUUCUCCUCAUGUUAACCUUUGUGUAACACGAUGAUGUUAACUUGGCUUCACUACGGUUAUGUCAUUUUCGGGCGUGACAAUGCAUUGUGAAUUUGUAGGUUUAGCAAUGGGAUGUUGCAGGCUUGGUUUCACGGUGCGUCGACAAGUGAAUAGACUGUUUUACAAGGUGAGUUUCUAACCAGCUUAUCGUUUUCUUCAUUGCUUAAAUCCCAAUCAUCAAGACCAGCAAACCCUUCGCUCUUUGACUUCUUUCCUGGUGAUGAAAAAUCAAAGUUUGUAGUGAUAUUGUGCUCCUUUGCUUUCUUAUCACCUUGUCCCAUUCCAAAACUUGUUAUAUCUUGGUCACCACUAGUUUUAGACUUACUUAAACUCUGAACAGCCUUUUGUGGUGAACUCAGAUAAGCAUUAUUACCUUGAGCCAACUCUGCAUUUCCUUAGAUAGGCUCAUUAAUCGCCACUGAGUUGGAGGCAGAAGCUACAGAUUUAGCAAGCAAGCAAGUAUUUGAGUUAUUUCUACCGUCUUCGUCGACAGAAAGAAAGCCAUCUGACAUAGGCAGAAGCUUCAUAUGGCCACUUCUUUAUGCCUUCAAUAGAAGAACUCUUCUGUUUCAAAGCAGCUGACACGGUCAUCUCUGCAGCACCACCUCCAGGAACAAGUUUUGGAUUUU